AGCUUUUACAAAACUAAAAUAGAUUGUUCUAAGCCUAUAAUAUAUUCAAGUGAGAAAGAAAAUGUGUUGUAGUUGUGCUCAAAAAAAUUGUGCAAAAACGAGUCGUAUAUUCGUAUCCAUUUAUAACACUAACACAGGUGUCAGGUCAUCAUAAUAAACUGAAUAAUAUGUAUUUUUACAGGAAAAACUUUCAAAAGUCACAACUCAUAAUAUUUAUUUUUAUUUGAAAUAUGAAAAACAGCAAGUCCAGAUUUCAAUUUUAGAAACUCUAUCAGAAGUCGUAAUAAACGUCUGAAAAAACAUAAAUUGUUGACUAUUUUGAAAUGCAUUUUUAUGCUCUUAUUUAAAAGUCAACCUUAAUUCAAUCUGAUUAAUUUUUCUUAGUUUUACAAAUAAAAAAAAAAAACCAAUUUUGACUACUGAGGAGUCUGGAGUAUGCGUAAUAAUAAUUUUCAAUUUUUUCUGUUAGUAACGACUGGUAUAAUAGUGCUUGGGUAACAUUAAUUAAAAUUGCCUACAUUUCAACACCAUUAAAAGGAUUGGAAGAGGCGAUUUUCUAUAUUUGUAGAGUUAACUUGUAAAUCGUAAUAUAAGGAAUUUAGGAGAGGUAAACUAUUUUCAAUGUACCAUUUAAAAUAAAUUAUUGAAGCGAUAAGAACUAAAAAUAGAUUUCAAUUUGUUUUAGUCUUCCUGUCAUUGAUUCCCCAAUAUUUAAAACAUCUAUUAUAAGUUUAAAUAUGACAAAUUUUUAAUGUCAAACUUUUUUAGAAUUCAGGCAGAUAAAAUCUAAAAUGAAGGGAAGUUGGUCUCAAGUAGAUUUACGAGUGAAUUUAAAUCUGUUUUCAAAAAUUCUAUUGCUUCACUAGUUCACUGGAUAAAUUGGUACGUUGGAAAUAGAACACGUUAAAAUUGCAAUAUUGUGCGUGUGAUAGUUAGAUAAAGAAAGAAAAUUACCGAUAUCAGUCCUCAUGUAUCUCAUAUUCUCAUGUGAUGUCUUUCAUUAUUUUUAUCAAUGAAAGUGUUAAGUGACGUAAGCGAUUGUCUGGCUCUGUAGAGUGCGGGCUGUGGCUAUAAGAGGGUCUGUGGUAAUACGAAUGCGUCACACCCGCAUGCAAUUGUCUACAUCAGAAUUCUUACAGACGUACACAACCAUUAAUAAUUAUCUAUAAAUAUAAUUUGUAUGUGGUCAACUUCAGUAUUGGAGUUAACUGAUCUAUUAUAAGAUACAAAGUUUUUAUCUUCACGGAGUGACAGAACACAACAAAUUCUUUAACCGAUGUCCAUAAGUUAAUAUUUUAUAAUUCAUGUUUGUGGUAGACCGCAUAUUGGGAGAUAGCCUAUAUUAUAUAGGUAAUAGCUAUAAACAUGAUUGUACGAACAGGACCACGGACCAUAACUUGAGGAUUAUAAAAGAACAUGCACCUAUAAUUAAGAUCGAUUAAGUCAAACAAUCAACUAGUUAAAAAACUACACUCUAGAGUGCAUGAAAUGGUUCCAUGACUGUGAAGGUCAGAAAAACAAUAAAUGCUAAAAUAAAAUUAUUAUUCAACAUUAUUUAAUUGAAAUUGUUUUUUCGAUGUUUGGAGAAGAAACAUAACUCAAAUAAAAUUUUAGUCAUACAAUCCAAUA
Long non-coding RNA from Aphis gossypii (cotton aphid), 1629 nucleotides. RefSeq lists it as uncharacterized. The record is from RefSeq and is a predicted model, not a curated record. Lineage: Eukaryota; Metazoa; Arthropoda; Insecta; Hemiptera; Aphididae. The transcript has 2 exons.